GUCCACGCCGUAAACGUUGGGCACUAUGUGUGGGGCUCUAUCUACGGGUUCCGUGCCGAAGCUAACGCAUUAAGUGCCCCGCCUGGGGAGUACGGCCGCAAGGCUAAAACUCAAAGGAAUUGACGGGGGCCCGCACAAGCGGCGGAGCAUGUGGCUUAAUUCGAUGCAACGCGAAGAACCUUACCAAGGCUUGACAUGCUGGGUAAUCCGUGGAAACACGGUGAUCCUUCGGGAUCCAGCACAGGUGGUGCAUGGCUGUCGU
This 262-nucleotide ribosomal RNA is filed under the name uncultured bacterium. RNAcentral's name for it is "partial 16S ribosomal RNA". It matches the Rfam family "Bacterial small subunit ribosomal RNA", at positions 793 to 1055 of the family's 1533-position model. The record is from RNAcentral.